UACGUAGGGCGCGAGCGUUGUCCGGAAUUAUUGGGCGUAAAGAGCUCGUAGGCGGUUUGGCAAGUCGGGUGUGAAAACUCCGGGCUCAACUCGGAGACGCCACUCGAUACUGCCAUGACUCGAGUCCGGUAGGGGAGUGCGGAAUUCCUGGUGUAGCGGUGAAAUGCGCAGAUAUCAGGAGGAACACCGGUGGCGAAGGCGGCACUCUGGGCCGGUACUGACGCUGAGGAGCGAAAGCGUGGGGAGCGAACAGG
This 254-nucleotide ribosomal RNA is filed under the name uncultured bacterium. RNAcentral describes it as "partial 16S ribosomal RNA". It matches the Rfam family "Bacterial small subunit ribosomal RNA", at positions 524 to 776 of the family's 1533-position model. The record is from RNAcentral.